GUUUAUGUCAUGUUCAGAAGUUCUCAAUAUAGGUGUAUUCUCUUUAUUUUUCAUCUCCUCAAGAUGGUCUUGAAUAGCUGUAAUCGAUUGAAUUCAUUGGAUCACCUCCUCCAGUAUGAGCAGUUGACAGGAUUUAUUUUCCAAACAGUCCCAUAAUCUCGAUCAUAGCAAUAACCAUGAAGUUUCUGAGCUAAUAAUAUUGAUCUUGAAUAGUUGAAUUCUUGAUUCUAGUAAUUAUCGGUAGAAUGUAUUACGAUGAAUACAUUUAACAAAAAAUGAUGCAAGCGAGCUAAAAAUCUACGAAUUUCGGCUCAAGAUUCUAGUACCAAUCAGUUGAGUAAUGAAUGCUUUCAACACCAAGCGACAUAGGUACAAAAUUUGGUUUAGGAAACAAAAUCCUAUACGUUUAUUACCACAGAACAUAAUAAUUACAAAUGGAUGGAUUAGAAACAAACGUUGAAUUGGGUCGUAUGCGGUGACCUAUAAGAACGUGGAGAUUUGUGCAGCGUUUAUUUCAGUACAAAUUAUCUCGAAUAUGUAUAUUUUUCUGUUCAGAUGUACUAAGUAUGCAUAUAAAGUUAGCAUUAUAAAGCGCAAAGAGAAGCGAAAACCGAGUAAUUUUUGUUUAAUUAAGAGUGGAAGGAGGCAUCGGCCAUGGCCAUACAAUUAACUCGUUUAAGGUUGUUAGAAUGUAAAAUGGUACAAGGUUACUAUACGUUAAAGAUAAAUAUAAAUAUCUAUUACCUUGUUUCGUACCAAAAUUAUUAGUGUUUAUUUUUUGCAAAAUUUUACUCAUUUACAUUGUGUAGGUAGGUACUUGUCAGGUCAUCUUGAGCACCCAGCUUGCAGUGAUAAAGAAAGUUGUCACGUUUGUAGGUUGUGAUGAUCAGGAUCAUCUAAAAUAAAAAAUAAAUAAAAUACUAGGUUCUAAAAAUGGGAUAAAAUAGAACAUUUUGUUCGGUGAGUAAUAUAAUCCAGACGAAACAGUGACGUAGUGGAGGGGGGGCAAAAGUAAAUAUAUUGGAAAAUGUAUUUCGAUUUUUUUUUAAUAAUAGGUAAUUAAUUUAAUACACUAUAAAUUAAAUUAAUAAAUUCAAAUUUGUAUUUCUAUAGAAAUAAAUUACUUAUUAAAUAAUUAUU
Molecule: long non-coding RNA, 1140 nt
Organism: Planococcus citri (citrus mealybug)
Lineage: Eukaryota; Metazoa; Arthropoda; Insecta; Hemiptera; Pseudococcidae
Exons: 3
Source: RefSeq, a predicted model, not a curated record